RNA transcript from Myotis brandtii (Brandt's bat), 1447 nucleotides. It is a transcript of the gene named HLA class I histocompatibility antigen, B-38 alpha chain-like, with no coding region annotated. Lineage: Eukaryota; Metazoa; Chordata; Mammalia; Chiroptera; Vespertilionidae. The record is from RefSeq and is a predicted model, not a curated record. The transcript has 8 exons.
CGCCCCGACUCAGAUGGUCCCAGGACACCAAGGAUGCCCGCCAUGAGGCCCCCCACCCUCCUCCUGCUGCUCUCGGGGGCGCUGGUCCUGACCCCCAGCUGGGCCAGCCCCCACUCCCUGAGAAAUUUCUACACCAGCGUGUCCUGGCCCGGCCGCGGGGAGCCCCGGUAUUUUGAAGUCGGCUACGUGGACGACACGCAGUUCGUGCGGUUCGACAGCGACGCCCUGAAUCAGAGGGUGGAGCUGCGGGCGCCUUGGAUGCAGCAGCCGUGGGUGGAGCAGGAGGACCCCGGGUAUUGGGAGGAGGAGGCGCUGUGGGUCAAGGCCAACGAACAGGUUUUCAGAGAGAACCUGUAGAUCGCCCUCGGCUACUACACCAGAGCGAGGACGGGUCUCACACCUACCAGUGCAUGAGAGGCUGCUACAUGAGACCCGAUGGGCGCCUACUCCGCGGUUACAGUCAGUGGGCCUAUGAUGGCGCCGGAAUACAUCGCCCUGAACAAGGACCUGACCUCCUGGACCGCGGCCGACAUGGCGGCUCAGAUCACCAGGCGCAAGUGGGAGGCGGCCGGUGUGGCAGAGCGUGAGAGGAGGUUCCUGGAGGGCACCUGCAUGGAGUGGCUCCUCAUUUACCUGGAAAAAGGGAUGGAGACCCUGCAGCGUGCAGACUCUCCAAAGGCUCACGUGACCCACCACCCCAUCUCUGCCCGUGAGGUCACCCUGAGGUGCUGGGCGCUGGGCUUCUACCCUGCGGACAUCAGCCUGACCUGGCAGUGUGACGGGGAGGACCAGACCCAGGACAGGGAGCUGGUGGAGACCAGGCCUGCGGGGGAUGGCACCUUCCAGAAGUGGGCGGCUGUGGGGGUGCCCUCUGGAGAGGAGCAGAGAUACACGUGCCAUGUGCAGCACGAGGGGCUGCCCGAGCCCCUGACCCUGAGAUGGGAGCCGCCUUCUCAGACCUUUAUCUUCAUCAUCAUGGGCAUCGUUGGGGGCCUGGUUCUGCUGGGAGCCAUGGCUGGAGCUGUGAUGUGGGGGAGGAGGCGCUCAGGUGGAAGUGGACGGAGCUACACUCAGGCUGCCAGCAGUGACAGCGGCCAGGGCUCUGAUGUGUCUUUCUCGGCUUCUAGAGCGUGAGGCAGCUGCCUUGUGGGGACUGAGUGUUGGAAGAUGUUCACGCUCCCACUUCCUGACUCAAGAAUCUCUGAUUGGGGGGCUGGCCUGCUCUGCUCCCCACACUUUUCUGUCAGCAGAGGCGGGCUGGGCCCUCCCCAUCCCUUCCUUAACUCCCUGGUGCUCUGAGCUGCAACUUCUUGUUUCGUAUUGAAAUGAGACUGUGUAUUGACCUGGUUUUUUAAUUCUUGCUUUGACUGGUGACGGGUAAUUAAAGGAGACCCUUUAAUUAAUUAUUUUCUCAGAGGAAAUAAAUGUGAGCACCAAGGAUUCUGCG